RNAcentral lists this ribosomal RNA (1158 nucleotides) under Triticum aestivum (bread wheat). RNAcentral's name for it is "partial small subunit ribosomal RNA". The record is from RNAcentral. Lineage: Eukaryota; Viridiplantae; Streptophyta; Magnoliopsida; Poales; Poaceae.
AUGCACAAGCUCGUAUCCGUCGCUUUCCUAGUCUUCGUCUCAUGGUCGACGCUGGCGGUCUCUUCCCCGUCCGGCAUCCCUUGCUACCAAUCCAUCUUCAGCUUCGGCGACUCCUUCGCUGACAUGGGCAAUAACCCUGUCGUCUUCAAAUGGUACUCCAUCUUCGACCCCGUCACGCGUCCUCCCUAUGGCACCAGCUUUUUUGGCCGGCAUACUGGUCGCAACGGAGACGGGCGGCUCAUCAUCGACUUCAUUGCUGAGAACUUGGGCCUACCAUAUGUCCCGCCCAACCUGGCGCACAACGGUAGCUUCCGGCGAGGCGCCAACUUCGCCGUUGGUGCCGCAACCGCAGUCGAUGCUGGUUUCUUCCACAAGAGGGGUAUCCCCAGUGCCACCAGCAAGUUCCUACUGAACACCAGCUUAGGCGUGCAGCUGGAGUGGUUUGAGUCCAUGAAGCCUUCCUUAUGUCGCACAGCCCAAGAGUGUAAGAAAUUGUUUGGCAGAUCCCUCUUCUUCGUGGGCGAGUUCGGAGUCAACGACUAUCACAUGUCGUUCCAACAGAGAACGGUACAGGAGGUCAGGUCCUUCGUUCCUGAUGUCGUUGCGACCAUCUCCAAGGCCAUUGAGAGGCUCAUCACCAUGCAUGGCGCCAGGAGCCUGGUUGUCCCUGGCGUGAUUCCGUCGGGAUGCUCGCCGCCGAUCCUGACCAGGUUCGCCGCCUCACCACCAUCAGCAUACGACUCCAGGACCGGUUGUCUGAAAGCAUAUAACGAGCUGGGGUUGCACCACAACUCGCUGCUGCAGGCUGAGCUAGCCAAGCUUCAGGCCAAGCACCGGAAUGCCAGGAUCAUCUACGCCGAUUUCUUUGGCCCAAUCAUGGACAUGGUGGAGUCGCCUCACAAGUUUGGUUUUGAACAAGACGUGCUUAUGGUGUGCUGUGGAGGGGCUGGACAAUACAGAUUAAAUUCAACGGUUCCAUGCGGCGAUGCUGCUGCAACAACGUGUCCGGAUCCAUCAGCUCGUUUGUACUGGGACGGUGUCCAUUUGACGGAGGCAGCUAAUCGCCACAUCGCCAAUAUCUGGCUGGGCAGCAUAACCUCGGCAACAAGCGUCAGCAGCAGCAAGUGUGCAAAAGGGCCAUAUCGACCUACCGGGUGA